Molecule: transfer RNA, 87 nt
Filed under: Micromonospora phaseoli
Lineage: Bacteria; Bacillati; Actinomycetota; Actinomycetes; Micromonosporales; Micromonosporaceae
Description: tRNA-Arg
Source: RNAcentral
CCGGCCUCAGCCGGGAUAGUCGCCGGGCUUCGCGCCCGGAUUGGCGUUCAACCAUGACAGGUAGCGGUUGUAGGCGGCCAGGUCGGC